AUUGAACGCUGGCGGCAGGCUUAACACAUGCAAGUCGAACGGUAACAGGUCUUCGGACGCUGACGAGUGGCGAACGGGUGAGUAAUACAUCGGAACGUGCCCAGUCGUGGGGGAUAACUACUCGAAAGAGUAGCUAAUACCGCAUACGAUCUGAGGAUGAAAGCGGGGGACCUUCGGGCCUCGCGCGAUUGGAGCGGCCGAGGGCAGAUUAGGUAGUUGGUGGGAUAAAAGCUUACCAAGCCGACGAUCUGGAGCUGGUCUGAGAGGACGACCAGCCACACUGGGGCUGAGACACGGCCCAGACUCCUACGGGAGGCAGGAGUUGGGAAUUGUGGACAAUGGGCGAAAGCCUGAUCCUGCAAUGCCGCGUGCAGGAUGAAGGCCUUCGGGUUGUAAACUGCUUUUGUACGGAACGAAAAAGCUUCUCCUAAUACGAGAGGCCCAUGACGGUACCGUAAGAAUAAGCACCGGCUAACUACGUGCCAGCCGCCGCGGUAA
RNAcentral lists this ribosomal RNA (498 nucleotides) under uncultured bacterium. RNAcentral describes it as "partial 16S ribosomal RNA". It matches the Rfam family "Bacterial small subunit ribosomal RNA", at positions 30 to 523 of the family's 1533-position model. The record is from RNAcentral.